Argiope bruennichi is the source of this 688-nucleotide long non-coding RNA. RefSeq lists it as uncharacterized. The transcript is spliced from 3 exons. Lineage: Eukaryota; Metazoa; Arthropoda; Arachnida; Araneae; Araneidae. The record is from RefSeq and is a predicted model, not a curated record.
AACCACUUUCUGGGAACACAGUUUAACAGGCGUGACGACUUGAUUUGUAUUCAGGUGCUAAAUGUUUGGCGAGAUAAAAGCUAACCGUGUACGCGUUUAUUAUUGAAAUGCAAAGACUUCAUUGUUUUGAAAGUGGCAUAAAUUUUUACCGCCAAGACAGUUAGAGUUGGUUUUUAUUCGUGAAUGCGUAGCGCCAAACUGGCGAAAGUAUUUCAGUUGCUGUGAUAGAUAGUUCGUGAAGUUGUGUUUUACGCUAGAUGAUAAAAUAUUAGCGCUGUGUUUCGGAUUUUUGUUUCCUUCAGUCACGUUUUUUAGCAGCAUGGGAAUAUAUCGGUAACUUAAACAUGGCAGCAGGGAUUCUGCACAAUUCCACGGGCAUUGAAGAUGCGUCAUUGAUCAAAGAAGAAAGUAUUGUGCAGAGUUUCUACAUUGAAGGACUGAUUGGCAUUAUUAUUUGUGGCUCCGUAGUAUUAGCUGUAAUAUGUGUGCUUUUGUACUAUAUUGUUCCAUGGCAAAAGUCAUCGUAGAUUGCUGACUUCUUCAUCAAAGUUAUUAUAUAUUUUUAAGAUUUUGACCAUUGUUCUUGCAUUGUAUAGAACGUAGCUUGGUUCAAGUGUAGCCAAAUGUAAGAUUUUGUUUAGUUUUUUUUACGUUAUUUGUAAUAAAAAUGUAGUUGUUUAAAAAGAAA